RNAcentral lists this ribosomal RNA (433 nucleotides) under uncultured bacterium. Its description in RNAcentral is "partial 16S ribosomal RNA". It matches the Rfam family "Bacterial small subunit ribosomal RNA", at positions 29 to 507 of the family's 1533-position model. The record is from RNAcentral.
AACGAACGCUGGCGGCAUGCCUAACACAUGCAAGUCGAACGAGACCUUCGGGUCUAGUGGCGCACGGGUGCGUAACGCGUGGGAACCUGCCCUUAGGUUCGGAAUAACUCCCCGAAAGGGGUGCUAAUACCGGAUAAUGUCUUCGGACCAAAGAUUUAUCGCCCUUGGAUGGGCCCGCGUUGGAUUAGCUAGUUGGUAGGGUAAAAGCCUACCAAGGCGACGAUCCAUAGCUGGUCUGAGAGGAUGAUCAGCCACACUGGGACUGAGACACGGCCCAGACUCCUACAGGAGGCAGCAGUGGGGAAUAUUGGACAAUGGGCGAAAGCCUGAUCCAGCAAUGCCGCGUGAGUGAUGAAGGCCUUAGAGUUGUAAAGCUCUUUUACCCGGGAUGAUAAUGACAGUACCGGGAGAAUAAGCUCCGGCUAACUCCGUG